CGGGGAGGGGUGGGGGAAGAGUAAAGAGAGCGCUGUCUUGAAGAAACUACAAGUGUGGAGAGUCUGCACACGUUGGAGGGAGAUGAAGGCGGUGCUGAUUCAGGAGACAGAGCUUUAGCCAGGAAAGCAAGCUGGCAGCCACUUGGGAACCACCAUCUCUGACACCUCCUGAGUGCCAAAGCCACAGAACACAACCAGGAAUCAAAGCCGAAGGACCCCGCGCCCGUGAUGACGGAACUCGUAACAACCACAGGACCUCAGACAACAGCCCUCCACCUGGCAAGGACCGGCCUGACGACUCAGGCCCCACCUCCGCUUCCAGUUUCCCUGCCGGAAGAGCCCCUUGCCCAUGAGCCGGGAACGGGAAGGCGCUUCGUGGUGGAGCGGACCCCAUCAGUGCUGCCCAUGUCCCCUCCACCCUUCUUCCACUCUGUGCCCACCCGCUCGCCUUCCAGGCGCUCCGACUCACAGAGUGCCGUGUCGGGAGUCUGCACUGCCCUCCCACGCGGCAGCCCUGGCAGCUGGGAGCUGGGAGGCCCUGGGCGCGGUAAUUGUGGGGC
Molecule: long non-coding RNA, 560 nt
Filed under: Aotus nancymaae (Ma's night monkey)
Lineage: Eukaryota; Metazoa; Chordata; Mammalia; Primates; Aotidae
Description: lncRNA (ENSANAG00000038894.1)
Source: RNAcentral